Aerococcus viridans is the source of this 54-nucleotide non-coding RNA. NCBI's taxonomy places the organism in Bacteria, Bacillati, Bacillota, Bacilli, Lactobacillales, Aerococcaceae. The record is from Rfam.
GGUAUUGUUUGCCCCAUGAUAGGCCCCGGAAACCAAUUAUGAAUCGAACAAUCA